This 428-nucleotide unclassified non-coding RNA is filed under the name Aniselytron treutleri. Its description in RNAcentral is "partial external transcribed spacer". Lineage: Eukaryota; Viridiplantae; Streptophyta; Magnoliopsida; Poales; Poaceae. The record is from RNAcentral.
GACUACCGGNNCCGUGUCCCGUCGGUCCCGUGGCUUAUGUUACUGUUGGCUUUUCAAGUGCUUGCGUGCUGGUACCCGAACUACGGGAAGUGGUGCUUUGUACAGGUUGCCUCGCGGUGGACGCCUUCGGGUGUGCCRCUGCGGCCAUAUGGCGCUUGCGGCGUUGCCUCGUGACGCUGGCACGUCUACGUGUCCGGUGCUAUCAAGGCAGCCUCGCUCCCGCUGUUGGUCUCGGAUGUUGCUCACGAUAAAGUGUCGUGGCCCUUUCGGUUGCCCCGACCCGACCCUAAGAAGCUCUCYGAAUUGAGAACAACCGGAACAGGUGUUGCCUCUACCUCUCCACAGUUAGUGGUAGGAUAYGCAACAUUCUGCGCCGAUCCUCAAACAAGUAGGACGAGCUUAGCCCGCUCAAUUGCGACAACCRGCCC